Long non-coding RNA from Sinocyclocheilus anshuiensis, 351 nucleotides. RefSeq lists it as uncharacterized. The transcript is spliced from 4 exons. Lineage: Eukaryota; Metazoa; Chordata; Actinopteri; Cypriniformes; Cyprinidae. The record is from RefSeq and is a predicted model, not a curated record.
AUCUGUCUGACCUCAACUCUUUCGUGUCGUCUGACCAGAUUGGUGUGUUCUUGGAAAACCCGGAGAACCUUCAGCUGCUCAACAGCACCGUAACCAUCCAGUCCAGCGUAGCCAACUACUACGUAACACAGCUGUACAGUCAGAACCCGUCCUUCAACCCCAUCAGGCUGCCAGGCCAGUUCCUGUGUGGAAUUUCUUCAUUUGCAUUCGAGCUUCUAGGAGCAGACGACAGUUUGGUGCUCAUCCAGCAAAUCAACGUGUUCUGCAAUGGAACCGAGAGCCCUGAGAUCACGUCUGCUCUCGCAGCCAAUCUCCCUUCGCUCUCCUCCUCCACCAUCCAGCUGCUCGGCA